AGAUACCGAGGUAGUCCACGCCGUACACGCUGAGUGCUAGGGGAGCAAACAGGAUUAGAUAACCUGGUAGUCCACGCCGUAAACGAUGAGUGCUAAGUGUUAGAGGGUUUCCGCCCUUUAGUGCUGAAGAUAACGCAUUAAGCACUCCGCCUGGGGAGUACGGCCGCAAGGCUGAAACUCAAACGAAUUGACGGGGGCCCGCACAACCGGUGGAGCAUGUGGUUUAAUACCAAGCAACGC
This 240-nucleotide ribosomal RNA is filed under the name Bacillus cereus. RNAcentral's name for it is "partial 16S ribosomal RNA". It matches the Rfam family "Bacterial small subunit ribosomal RNA", at positions 723 to 962 of the family's 1533-position model. Lineage: Bacteria; Bacillati; Bacillota; Bacilli; Caryophanales; Bacillaceae. The record is from RNAcentral.